UACGUAGGGUGCGAGCGUUGUCCGGAAUUAUUGGGCGUAAAGAGCUCGUAGGCGGCUUGUCGCGUCGGAUGUGAAAGCCCGGGGCUUAACUCCGGGUCUGCAUUCGAUACGGGCAGGCUAGAGUUCGGUAGGGGAGAUCGGAAUUCCUGGUGUAGCGGUGAAAUGCGCAGAUAUCAGGAGGAACACCGGUGGCGAAGGCGGCGACCUGGGGUGAGGUUGACGCUCAGACACGAAAGCAUGGGGAGCGAACGGG
Molecule: ribosomal RNA, 253 nt
Filed under: uncultured bacterium
Lineage: Bacteria
Description: partial 16S ribosomal RNA
Rfam family: Bacterial small subunit ribosomal RNA
Source: RNAcentral